AGCAGUCGCCGCGGUAAUACAGAGGGUGCGAGCGUUAAUCGGAUUUACUGGGCGUAAAGCGUGCGUAGGCGGCUAAUUGAGUCGGAUGUGAAAUCCCCGAGCUUAACUUGGGAAUUGCAUUCGAUACUGGUUAGCUAGAGUGUGGGAGAGGAUGGUAGAAUUCCAGGUGUAGCGGUGAAAUGCGUAGAGAUCUGGAGGAAUACCGAUGGCGAAGGCAGCCAUCUGGCCUAACACUGACGCUGAGGUACGAAAGCAUGGGGAGCAAACAGGAUUAGAUACCCGCGUAGUCCCUGUCUCUUAUAC
RNAcentral lists this ribosomal RNA (303 nucleotides) under uncultured bacterium. Its description in RNAcentral is "partial 16S ribosomal RNA". It matches the Rfam family "Bacterial small subunit ribosomal RNA", at positions 507 to 807 of the family's 1533-position model. The record is from RNAcentral.